UUCAACAGGGGUGAAAUCUGUAUACACCAUGAAUUUUUUGAUUAAAGUACCUUUUAGGUGGUCAAAUGACUAGGAUUAGAUACCCUAUUAGUCCACUCUUAAUUAACCUGGGUAGUAGUAUUGAAACCUAAAGAAUUUGGCGGUUUCUAAACCUACUAGAGGAACCUGCCCCAUAAACGACAAUCCACGAAAAAAUUCACCCGGGCUAGUUAUGCAGCUUAUAUACCGUCGUUCAGAGGACUAAAUAAAUAGAUCCUCUUAAAAGCUUAGGCUGAUAAAUCAGAUCAAGGUGUAGCUUAUGCCCGGGAGAGGGUGGGUUACAAUGAAAAUUCAUACGGAACUUCUAUUUUAUGAUAGAAAAGAAGGUGGAUUUAGAAGUAAGACUUAAUAUACUGAAAAAGGCUCUCAGAAAUGUACAC
This 419-nucleotide ribosomal RNA is filed under the name Artemia urmiana. Its description in RNAcentral is "partial small subunit ribosomal RNA". The record is from RNAcentral. Lineage: Eukaryota; Metazoa; Arthropoda; Branchiopoda; Anostraca; Artemiidae.